GCCAGGCGCCGUGGCCCAUGCCUGUAAUUCCAGUGGCUUGGAAGGCUGAGGCAGGAGGAUCGCGAGUUCAAAGCCAGCCUCAGCAACCUAAUUAGGUCCUAAGCAACUUAGUGAGACCCUGUCUCUA
RNAcentral lists this small RNA (127 nucleotides) under Marmota monax (woodchuck). The record is from RNAcentral. Lineage: Eukaryota; Metazoa; Chordata; Mammalia; Rodentia; Sciuridae.